CCUGGGCGGCAGCAGUGGGGAAUUUUGGACAAUGGGCGCAAGCCUGAUCCAGCCAUUCCGCGUGAGUGAAGAAGGCCUUCGGGUUGUAAAGCUCUUUCGCAAGGGAAGAAAACUUAUCCUCUAACAUAGGAUGAGGUUGACGGUACCUUGAUAAGAAGCACCGGCUAACUACGUGCCAGCAGCCGCGGUAAUACGUAGGGUGCGAGCAUUAAUCGGAAUUACUGGGCGUAAAGCGUUCGCAGGCAGAUGUGAAAUCCCCGAGCUCAACUUGGGAACUGCGUUUGAAACUACAAGACUAGAAUAGGUCAGAGGGGGGUAGAAUUCCACGUGUAGCAGUGAAAUGCGUAGAGAUGUGGAGGAAUAUCAAUGGCGAAGGCAGCCCCCUGGGAUCAUAUUGACGCUCAUGCACGAAAGCGUGGGGAGCAAACAGGAUUAGAUACCCUUGUAGUC
Molecule: ribosomal RNA, 450 nt
Filed under: uncultured bacterium
Lineage: Bacteria
Description: partial 16S ribosomal RNA
Rfam family: Bacterial small subunit ribosomal RNA
Source: RNAcentral